UGGUUUGGAUCCAUUGCUGGUUAGCCAGUGUGAUCUUUUGGGGGUGUUAAAGAAUGUUAUUUUGUCAUGCUGCCAGAAUUGUUUUUUUUUUUUUUUUUUUUUUUUUUUUUUUGGUUCCUUCUCAUUUAGGUAGACUGUCAGAAGUCACAUAUGAGACUCAAGGCUGCCGUUCAGAUUCUUUAGUCCCACGGGGUGCUCCCUUGAUUUGAUUCUCUACCCCUUCUUCUAGGGAUGGGGCUUCCUGAGAGCCGAUCUGAAGUGAUUUUUACUUCUCUUCUGGAAUUUAGCAGAUCUACCAGGCUCCACACUGAUACUGGGCAGUGUCUGCAGAGUUCUGUGAUUUGAUCCAUCUUCAGGUUUCUCAGCCAUGGAUACCAGCUUCUGCUCUGGUAGAAGUAAGCAAAGGAGUGAAACAGAUUCCGUGAGGGUCCUUGGUUUAUUUUUGCUAAGUGUGCUGGUUUUGUGUCAGUUAGUCUCCAGCCGGGAUGUGGCACUUUCAAGAGUGCAUCAACUGCAGUAGUAUAGAUAGGAUACAAGCUUGCCCUAGGGCCAGGCAUUGGGUGAGGUCAUAGAGCUCUCAAGACAUUAUGUCCUUGGUCUUCAACUACCAGGGUGGAUAGAGAAGAACUGUCAGGCAGCAGAUGAGCAAGGCUGAGAACGUGCCCCAGAGUACAAGUCUUUCAACUAAGAAGAUACGUCGACUCACAGUUCCUUGGCUGUCCCAUGGAGCCAGCAGCAGCAAUCCCCCUCCUUCAAAGGAUGUAUGGAGUAUCUCAGCUUUCCUGGUUAAACGAGUCAUCAGAGGUCAAGCCACUUUCAAAGAAAUUAUGACUUUAACCCAGAUAAGCUUGGAAAUGGAUCCUUCCUCAGUCCAACCUCCAGAUGAGAAUGCAUCUCAAAAGGAAGCAGAAGCCUUUCACGUGUAUUCACAAUUUAUAUCAAGCAUGGCAAAUUGA
Molecule: long non-coding RNA, 956 nt
Filed under: Callithrix jacchus (white-tufted-ear marmoset)
Lineage: Eukaryota; Metazoa; Chordata; Mammalia; Primates; Cebidae
Description: lncRNA (ENSCJAG00000064520.2)
Source: RNAcentral